This 246-nucleotide ribosomal RNA is filed under the name Klebsiella pneumoniae. RNAcentral's name for it is "partial 16S ribosomal RNA". It matches the Rfam family "Bacterial small subunit ribosomal RNA", at positions 1 to 241 of the family's 1533-position model. Lineage: Bacteria; Pseudomonadati; Pseudomonadota; Gammaproteobacteria; Enterobacterales; Enterobacteriaceae. The record is from RNAcentral.
ACUUAAAUUGAAGAGUUUGAUCAUGGCUCAGAUUGAACGCUGGCGGCAGGCCUAACACAUGCAAGUCGAGCGGUAGCACAGAGAGCUUGCUCUCGGGUGACGAGCGGCGGACGGGUGAGUAAUGUCUGGGAAACUGCCUGAUGGAGGGGGAUAACUACUGGAAACGGUAGCUAAUACCGCAUAACGUCGCAAGACCAAAGUGGGGGACCUUCGGGCCUCAUGCCAUCAGAUGUGCCCAGAUGGGAU